UUGCCUGUCAGGUGUGGACUUGUGU
RNAcentral lists this non-coding RNA (25 nucleotides) under Mus musculus (house mouse). The record is from RNAcentral. Lineage: Eukaryota; Metazoa; Chordata; Mammalia; Rodentia; Muridae.